This 465-nucleotide ribosomal RNA is filed under the name uncultured Klebsiella sp. RNAcentral's name for it is "bacterial SSU rRNA". It matches the Rfam family "Bacterial small subunit ribosomal RNA", at positions 338 to 795 of the family's 1533-position model. Lineage: Bacteria; Pseudomonadati; Pseudomonadota; Gammaproteobacteria; Enterobacterales; Enterobacteriaceae. The record is from RNAcentral.
CCUACGGGGGGCAGCAGUGGGGAAUAUUGCACAAUGGGCGCAAGCCUGAUGCAGCCAUGCCGCGUGUGUGAAGAAGGCCUUCGGGUUGUAAAGCACUUUCAGCGGGGAGGAAGGCGUUAAGGUUAAUAACCUUGUCGAUUGACAUUACCCGCAGAAGAAGCACCGGCUAACUCCGUGCCAGCAGCCGCGGUAAUACGGAGGGUGCAAGCGUUAAUCGGAAUUACUGGGCGUAAAGCGCACGCAGGCGGUCUGUCAAGUCGGAUGUGAAAUCCCCGGGCUCAACCUGGGAACUGCAUUCGAAACUGGCAGGCUAGAGUCUUGUAGAGGGGGGUAGAAUUCCAGGUGUAGCGGUGAAAUGCGUAGAGAUCUGGAGGAAUACCGGUGGCGAAGGCGGCCCCCUGGACAAAGACUGACGCUCAGGUGCGAAAGCGUGGGGAGCAAACAGGAUUAGAUACCCCAGUAGUC